Molecule: ribosomal RNA, 397 nt
Filed under: uncultured bacterium
Lineage: Bacteria
Description: partial 16S ribosomal RNA
Rfam family: Bacterial small subunit ribosomal RNA
Source: RNAcentral
AUACGUAGGUGGCAAGCGUUGUCCGGAUUUAUUGGGCGUAAAGCGAGCGCAGGCGGUCUCUUAAGUCUGAUGUGAAAGCCCCCGGCUCAACCGGGGAGGGUCAUUGGAAACUGGGAGACUUGAGUGCAGAAGAGGGGAGUGGAAUUCCAGGUGUAGCGGUGAAAUGCGUAGAUAUAUGGAGGAACACCAGUGGCGAAGGCGGCUCUCUGGUCUGUAACUGACGCUGAGGCUCGAAAGCGUGGGGAGCAAACAGGAUUAGAUACCCUGGUAGUCCACGCCGUAAACGAUGAGUGCUAAGUGUUGGAGGGUUUCCGCCCUUCAGUGCUGCAGCUAACGCAUUAAGCACUCCGCCUGGGGAGUACGGCCGCAAGGCUGAAACUCAAAGGAAUUGACGGGG